Molecule: non-coding RNA, 208 nt
Filed under: Oscillibacter sp.
Lineage: Bacteria; Bacillati; Bacillota; Clostridia; Eubacteriales; Oscillospiraceae
Description: T-box sequence
Rfam family: T-box leader
About the family: Uncharged tRNA acts as the effector for transcription antitermination of genes in the T-box leader family.
Source: RNAcentral
UCAAACGCUGAGAAGCGGAGUAGUAGCUGAUUUUAACGGUCAAGAGAGAGGGCGGACGGUGCAAGCCCUACCGGACGGUCAGUGAAGUCACCGCGGAGCGGUCGUGCUGAAAUCCAGUAAGCCGGACGGGUGUCCCGUUACAGACGGUAAGUGUCACGCGUUUUGCGUGGAAUCCAGGUGGUACCACGGACUUUUGUUCGCCCUGAGC